GGGAUAACACUUGGAAACAGGUGCUAAUACCGCGUAACCAUAGUUACCGCAUGGUAGCUAUGUAAAAGGUGGCUAUGCUACCGCUUUUGGAUGGGCCCGCGGCGCAUUAGCUAGUUGGUGGGGUAAAGGCUUACCAAGGCAAUGAUGCGUAGCCGAACUGAGGGGUUGAUCGGCCACAUUGGGACUGAGACACGGCCCAAACUCCUACGGGAGGCAGCAGUAGGGAAUCCUCCACGAUGGGCGAAAGCCUGAUGGAGCAACGCCGCGUGGGUGAAGAAGGUCUUCGGAUCGUAAAACCCUGUUGUUAGAGAAGAAAGUGCGUGAGAGUAACUGUUCACGUUUCGACGGUAUCUAACCAGAAAGCCACGGCUAACUACGUGCCAGCAGCCGCGGUAAUACGUAGGUGGCAAGCGUUAUCCGGAUUUAUUGGGCGUAAAGGGAACGCAGGCGGUCUUUUAAGUCUGAUGUGAAAGCCUUCGGCUUAACCGGAGUAGUGCAUUGGAAACUGGGAGACUUGAGUGCAGAAGAGGAGAGUGGAACUCCAUGUGUAGCGGUGAAAUGCGUAGAUAUAUGGAAGAACACCAGUGGCGAAAGCGGCUCUCUGGUCUGUAACUGACGCUGAGGUUCGAAAGCGUGGGUAGCAAACAGGAUUAGAUACCCUGGUAGUCCACGCCGUAAAC
RNAcentral lists this ribosomal RNA (680 nucleotides) under uncultured bacterium. Its description in RNAcentral is "bacterial SSU rRNA". It matches the Rfam family "Bacterial small subunit ribosomal RNA", at positions 140 to 807 of the family's 1533-position model. The record is from RNAcentral.